This 579-nucleotide ribosomal RNA is filed under the name Austroboletus sp. OTA FUNNZ 2013434. Its description in RNAcentral is "eukaryotic LSU rRNA". The stretch from base 151 to 305 matches the Rfam family "5.8S ribosomal RNA". Lineage: Eukaryota; Fungi; Basidiomycota; Agaricomycetes; Boletales; Boletaceae. The record is from RNAcentral.
GGUGACCUGCGGAGGAUCAUUAUAGAUUCUCUAUAUAAACACACACACACAUGUGCACCAACUGUAGGUUAACUCGAAAGAGUAAGACCUAUGUAUUUCUAUAUCACACCUACAUAUGUAUAAGAAUGAAACAAAUAAAAACCUAUAUACAACUUUCAGCAACGGAUCUCUUGGUUCUCGCAUCGAUGAAGAACGCAGCGAAUUGCGAUAAGUAAUGUGAAUUGCAGAUUUUCAGUGAAUCAUCGAAUCUUUGAACGCACCUUGCGCUCCUUGGUAUUCCGAGGAGCAUGCCUGUUUGAGUGUCAUUUGAAUUCUCAACUCAUGCUCAUGUCUUACAUGACAUGGGAUUGGACUUGGAGGUUGCUGGCAGCAUAUAGCUUAUCAGCUCUUCUGAAAUGCAUUAGCGAUUGGUUUCAAGUGCAAGUCAGGUUGACGCACCAAUUAGCCUUUGACAUGAUAAUCAUCUGUCGUAGUGAAUUUUUGGUAUUGCACGAACACAGACUAUCGCUUCUAAUUAGUAUUAGUAUACAUAUACUAUGGCUACUUGACCUCAAAUCAGGUAGGACUACCCGCUGAACU